This 57-nucleotide transfer RNA is filed under the name Physaloptera rara. Its description in RNAcentral is "tRNA-Glu". The record is from RNAcentral. Lineage: Eukaryota; Metazoa; Nematoda; Chromadorea; Rhabditida; Physalopteridae.
GUAAUAUUAGUAUAAUUUGAUUAUGUUUAAUUUUCUAUUAAAAGAUUUUAUAUUAUU